Molecule: transfer RNA, 69 nt
Filed under: Amoria hunteri
Lineage: Eukaryota; Metazoa; Mollusca; Gastropoda; Neogastropoda; Volutidae
Description: tRNA-Glu
Source: RNAcentral
GUUUCUAGGGUGUCAUAACUGCACAUUAGAUUUUCAUUCUAAAGGAAUAAAAUAAAUUUAUUAGAAAUA